This 229-nucleotide ribosomal RNA is filed under the name uncultured bacterium. Its description in RNAcentral is "partial 16S ribosomal RNA". It matches the Rfam family "Bacterial small subunit ribosomal RNA", at positions 568 to 796 of the family's 1533-position model. The record is from RNAcentral.
UGCGUAGGCGGUUUAAUAAGUCAGAGGUGAAAGCCCGCAGCUCAACUGUGGAAUUGCCUUUGAUACUGUUAGACUUGAAUCAGGUUGAGGUUGGCGGAAUGUGGCAUGUAGCGGUGAAAUGCAUAUAUAUGCCAUAGAACACCAAUUGCGAAGGCAGCUGACUAGACCUGUAUUGACGCUGAGGCACGAAAGCGUGGGGAGCGAACAGGAUUAGAUACCCUGGUAGUCC